Non-coding RNA from Acanthosepion pharaonis, 111 nucleotides. NCBI's taxonomy places the organism in Eukaryota, Metazoa, Mollusca, Cephalopoda, Sepiida, Sepiidae. The record is from the annotation of a GenBank genome assembly.
UUACGGCCAUAUCACGUUGAAACACCUGUUCCCGUACGAUCAUCGAAGUUAAGCAACGCCGAGCCUGGUCAUUAGUACCUAGAUGGGUGACCGCCUGAGUAUACUAAGUGA